Molecule: ribosomal RNA, 526 nt
Filed under: Salmonella enterica subsp. enterica serovar Enteritidis
Lineage: Bacteria; Pseudomonadati; Pseudomonadota; Gammaproteobacteria; Enterobacterales; Enterobacteriaceae
Description: partial 23S ribosomal RNA
Rfam family: Bacterial large subunit ribosomal RNA
Source: RNAcentral
GAUGCCCUGGCAGUCAGAGGCGAUGAAGGGCGUGCUAAUCUGCGAUAAGCGCCGGUAAGGUGAUAUGAACCGUUAUAACCGGCGAUACCCGAAUGGGGAAACCCAGUGUGAUUCGUCACACUAUCAUUAACUGAAUCCAUAGGUUAAUGAGGCGAACCGGGGGAACUGAAACAUCUAAGUACCCCGAGGAAAAGAAAUCAACCGAGAUUCCCCCAGUAGCGGCGAGCGAACGGGGAGGAGCCCAGAGCCUGAAUCAGCAUGUGUGUUAGUGGAAGCGUCUGGAAAGGCGCGCGAUACAGGGUGACAGCCCCGUACACAAAAGCGCAUGUGCUGUGAGCUCGAUGAGUAGGGCGGGACACGUGGUAUCCUGUCUGAAUAUGGGGGGACCAUCCUCCAAGGCUAAAUACUCCUGACUGACCGAUAGUGAACCAGUACCGUGAGGGAAAGGCGAAAAGAACCCCGGCGAGGGGAGUGAAAAAGAACCUGAAACCGUGUACGUACAAGCAGUGGGAGCACCCUUUGGGUG